AAGGAUUUAAGUUAAUCAAACUAAGAACCUUCAAAGUUCUAAAUAAAGACUGUUCCUCUUUAAGCCUUA
RNAcentral lists this transfer RNA (69 nucleotides) under Dicronorhina derbyana. Its description in RNAcentral is "tRNA-Trp". Lineage: Eukaryota; Metazoa; Arthropoda; Insecta; Coleoptera; Scarabaeidae. The record is from RNAcentral.